CUAACACAUGCAAGUCGAGCGGAAACGAGUUAUCUGAACCUUCGGGGAACGAUAACGGCGUCGAGCGGCGGACGGGUGAGUAAUGCCUAGGAAAUUGCCCUGAUGUGGGGGAUAACCAUUGGAAACGAUGGCUAAUACCGCAUGAUGCCUACGGGCCAAAGAGGGGGACCUUCGGGCCUCUCGCGUCAGGAUAUGCCUAGGUGGGAUUAGCUAGUUGGUGAGGUAAGGGCUCACCAAGGCGACGAUCCCUAGCUGGUCUGAGAGGAUGAUCAGCCACACUGGAACUGAGACACGGUCCAGACUCCUACGGGAGGCAGCAGUGGGGAAUAUUGCACAAUGGGCGCAAGCCUGAUGCAGCCAUGCCGCGUGUGUGAAGAAGGCCUUCGGGUUGUAAAGCACUUUCAGUCGUGAGGAAGGUAGUGUAGUUAAUAGCUGCAUUAUUUGACGUUAGCGACAGAAGAAGCACCGGCUAACUCCGUGCCAGCAGCCGCGGUAAUACGGAGGGUGCGAGCGUUAAUCGGAAUUACUGGGCGUAAAGCGCAUGCAGGUGGUUUGUUAAGUCAGAUGUGAAAGCCCGGGGCUCAACCUCGGAAUUGCAUUUGAAACUGGCAGACUAGAGUACUGUAGAGGGGGGUAGAAUUUCAGGUGUAGCGGUGAAAUGCGUAGAGAUCUGAAGGAAUACCGGUGGCGAAGGCGGCCCCCUGGACAGAUACUGACACUCAGAUGCGAAAGCGUGGGGAGCAAACAGGAUUAGAUACCCUGGUAGUCCACGCCGUAAACGAUGUCUACUUGGAGGUUGUGGCCUUGAGCCGUGGCUUUCGGAGCUAACGCGUUAAGUAGACCGCCUGGGGAGUACGGUCGCAAGAUUAAAACUCAAAUGAAUUGACGGGGGCCCGCACAAGCGGUGGAGCAUGUGGUUUAAUUCGAUGCAACGCGAAGAACCUUACCUACUCUUGACAUCCAGAGAACUUUCCAGAGAUGGAUUGGUGCCUUCGGGAACUCUGAGACAGGUGCUGCAUGGCUGUCGUCAGCUCGUGUUGUGAAAUGUUGGGUUAAGUCCCGCAACGAGCGCAACCCUUAUCCUUGUUUGCCAGCGAGUAAUGUCGGGAACUCCAGGGAGACUGCCGGUGAUAAACCGGAGGAAGGUGGGGACGACGUCAAGUCAUCAUGGCCCUUACGAGUAGGGCUACACACGUGCUACAAUGGCGCAUACAGAGGGCGGCCAACUUGCGAAAGUGAGCGAAUCCCAAAAAGUGCGUCGUAGUCCGGAUUGGAGUCUGCAACUCGACUCCAUGAAGUCGGAAUCGCUAGUAAUCGUGGAUCAGAAUGCCACGGUGAAUACGUUCCCGGGCCUUGUACACACCGCCCGUCACACCAUGGGAGUGGGCUGCAAAAGAAGUAGGUAGUUUAACCUUCGGGGGGACGCUUACCACUU
Molecule: ribosomal RNA, 1435 nt
Filed under: Vibrio parahaemolyticus
Lineage: Bacteria; Pseudomonadati; Pseudomonadota; Gammaproteobacteria; Vibrionales; Vibrionaceae
Description: bacterial SSU rRNA
Rfam family: Bacterial small subunit ribosomal RNA
Source: RNAcentral